AACGGCGAGUGAAGAGGGAAAAGCCCAAAUUUGUAAUCUGGCUCUUUCAGAGUCCGAGUUGUAAUUUUAAGAACUGUUUUCCGUGCUGGACCAUGUACAAGUCUGUUGAAAAACAGCAUCAUUGAGGGUGAAAAUCCCGUACAUGAUAUGGACUACCAGUGCAAUGUGAUACAGUCUCUAAGAGUCGAGUUGUUUGGGAAUGCAGCUCAAAGUGGGUGGUAAAUUCCAUCUAAGGCUAAAUAUAGGUGAGAGACCGAUAGCAAACAAGUACCGUGAGGGAAAGAUGAAAAGAACUUUGGAAAGAGAGUUAACAGUACGUGAAAUUGUUAAAAGGGAAACAUUUGAAGUUAGACUUGUUAUUGUUGGUUCAACUUCUUUAUUGAGGUGUAUUCCAAUGGUUAACAGACCAGCAUCAAUUUUUGGGUGUUGGAUAAGGGUUUAGGAAAUGUAGCAACCUUGGUUGUGUUAUAGUCCUUUACUUUGAUACAAUGCUUAGGAUUGAGGAACGCAGUAAGCUUUGUAGCAGAUUUCUUUGGAAAUCUUCUUACUA
This 550-nucleotide ribosomal RNA is filed under the name Nothopucciniastrum boehmeriae. RNAcentral's name for it is "eukaryotic LSU rRNA". It matches the Rfam family "Eukaryotic large subunit ribosomal RNA", at positions 85 to 636 of the family's 3401-position model. The record is from RNAcentral. Lineage: Eukaryota; Fungi; Basidiomycota; Pucciniomycetes; Pucciniales; Pucciniastraceae. RNAcentral also lists the same sequence under 5 other names.